GUUGACAACAAAAGCUUGCUGGUUACUGCACCAAGUUUUGGUGUCAACAUACUUGAUCUUUUGUUUCCAUUGCCAGCGGAUUCAUCGGCUCAGAGUGGGAUCAAGACAUCAAGCUGAUGGAGUUCUUUAUAUUUCAAGAGGAGUCAUGGAGUUCUUUAUAUUUCAAGAGGAGUCGAUAGUGCUUUGAAUAUUGCAACUAGAC
RNAcentral lists this long non-coding RNA (202 nucleotides) under Setaria italica (foxtail millet). RNAcentral's name for it is "long non-coding RNA (SITA_LNC004397)". The record is from RNAcentral. Lineage: Eukaryota; Viridiplantae; Streptophyta; Magnoliopsida; Poales; Poaceae.